This 305-nucleotide ribosomal RNA is filed under the name uncultured bacterium. RNAcentral describes it as "bacterial SSU rRNA". It matches the Rfam family "Bacterial small subunit ribosomal RNA", at positions 338 to 659 of the family's 1533-position model. The record is from RNAcentral.
CCUACGGGGGGCAGCAGUGGGGAAUAUUGCACAAUGGGGGAAACCCUGAUGCAGCAACGCCGCGUGGGUGAAGGAGCGUUUCGGCGCGUAAAGCCCUGUCGGCGGGGAAGAAGAAAGACGGUACCCGACCAAGAAGCCCCGGCUAACUACGUGCCAGCAGCCGCGGUAAUACGUAGGGGGCAAGCGUUAUCCGGAUUUACUGGGUGUAAAGGGAGCGCAGGCGGCGCGGUAAGUCUGAUGUGAAAGCCCGGGGCUCAACCCCGGGACUGCAUUGGAAACUGUCGUGCUGGAGUGUCGGAGGGGCG